AGGACGAACGCUGGCGGCGUGCUUAACACAUGCAAGUCGAGCGGAAAGGCCCUUCGGGGUACUCGAGCGGCGAACGGGUGAGUAACACGUGAGCAACCUGCCCUUAGCUCCGGGAUAGGCUCCGGGAAACCGGAAUUAAUACCGGAUACGACCACGGCCGACAUCUGCUGUGGUGGAAAGGAUUCCGGCUAAGGAUGGGCUCGCGGCCUAUCAGCUAGUUGGUGGAGUAACGGCCCACCAAGGCGACGACGGGUA
RNAcentral lists this ribosomal RNA (255 nucleotides) under uncultured bacterium. RNAcentral's name for it is "partial small subunit ribosomal RNA". It matches the Rfam family "Bacterial small subunit ribosomal RNA", at positions 26 to 285 of the family's 1533-position model. The record is from RNAcentral.